GUGAAUGUGUAUAUAAAUAUAUCUGGAGCAUAUUAUAAAACCAGAAGCAAAAGCAACUGAAGUUUUGAAUACGGUUCACCAGAAGUUAGAAGAUAUCUUUUCUAAUUUGAAGAAUAUGGAAACUCCUUAUCCAGGUUCUUAGGCCAUGUUCAGCUGAAUGUCACUUAUAAUUUUUAUUUUAAUAUAUGUAUUUAUGAAUACAAUUGUUGUUAUGAUUUUUUCAGGUAAGAACGAAUGGUCAGAGGGUAACCCAAUAACUAUGUACAGCAUUAUUAAUGAUGAGAGCGUGAAUGACAAUCUGGAUCUUAUUGUCGUCCCUCAAUACGGAAGAAAUCUCGAUCACACUGGUUAAGUGCUAUCCUACUCUUUCGUAUUAUGUUCAAUUAAAUAAAAUGAUGGGUUAUUAAUACCUGUCAAUUAUGUGAGUGUCUCUGUUUGGUUUAGUUCAACUUAUAAAAUCUCUUGAAAUAUACAAGAGAUUUUCUUUAUUUACGUUUGUGUACCGUGUCUUCUUGAAAAAAGAAAUUAAUAAAAAAUAUCAUUGUGUGAUCCUUUUCUUUCCCCUACUGCUGUAG
This 575-nucleotide long non-coding RNA is filed under the name Citrus x clementina. RNAcentral describes it as "Citrus clementina (C. clementina) long non-coding RNA (CCLE_LNC002300)". The record is from RNAcentral. Lineage: Eukaryota; Viridiplantae; Streptophyta; Magnoliopsida; Sapindales; Rutaceae.